Long non-coding RNA from Gallus gallus (chicken), 1393 nucleotides. The record is from Ensembl. NCBI's taxonomy places the organism in Eukaryota, Metazoa, Chordata, Aves, Galliformes, Phasianidae.
CGCGCGCGGCGUCGCUCCGCCCUGGACGUGCGGCGCGAGGGCGGGCGGUGGCGGUUGGGCUCCGCCCUGCGGCCGGGCCUGGAGCUGUGGCCUGUUGGUGUCCCGACGGACGCUGCCGGGGCUUGAGCUGCUGUCUCUUUCUCCGGAGUGCGGCCUGGUGGCUGUGUGAGGCCUUUCUGGUUCUGCCCGGCGGCGGUACCGCGGAGGGAAAGUGCUCAGGGCGGCUUUUGCCUUGUCCUCGGUGGGUGCAGGCUUGGUGCAAUAGUCUGUAGGAGAGCAGCUCAUUGGCAGCGGUGGUGUUUCUCCCAUGGAGCCUUCUCUCAUCCUGCAGCCCUAGAGCUGUGAGGAGAGCAGCCCUGGGCAGUCCUGUGCUUCCAGAGCACCCCUUCCAACAGCAAAAUGCUCCUCCUGAAAGCUGCAUGCACGUUAAGUGUGUGUGCUCCCAUCGUGAGCGUGGAUGCAGUUGUGUGCGUUGGCUGAUGGAUGUAAAAGCAGCUUUGUGAUCUAGAAGGUGAGGUCCAUCUCAGCUGCUGGAGGUCCUUGGUCUGCCAUGGGUGGAAAACCGGGUUCAGUUCUGGGCUCCCCAGUUCCAAAAAGAUGAGGAUCUUCUGGAAAUGGUCCAGUGGAGGGUGACAAAAGAUGAUUAACGACCUGGAGCCUCUGCAGUGAGUCAAGUCAACGGGGACAGACUCUUCCCACUGGCAUGCAGCAACAGAACAAAGGGCAAUGGGCAGAAACUGGAACACAAGUACUAACACAAAGAAGAACUUCUGUACAGAGUGACAGAGCUGGAAGAAGCCGCCCAAAGAGGUGGAGUGGACCAGUUGCCUUCACUGGACGUAUUCAAGACCCAUCUGGAUGCCUCUCUGUGUGACCUACUUUAGGGAAGCUGCUUUAGUGGGGAGGGUGGACUUCAGGAUCUCUGGAUGUCAUUUCCAACCCCUACAAUUCUGUGCCCUGCUGAGCCUGCUUGGUGAUCAUGGGUGGAGCUGCAGCUUUGCAUGUGAGCUCUGUGCUGCUCCGUCUCUCCCAUUACCAGUCUUGACUGUGGGGUCUCUCACGGCAUAGAGCUGCAAGGAGUACAAUUACUGCCUCAUCCAUUUAAGUUGAUCAGCAGUUCAUCUGACUGGGAAUCAGUAAUAUGCUUAAGGAAUUGUCACAGCACAAAAAUAAAGGGGAAUUGAGGGAUCUGAACAUCCGACUCUUCUCUGGUGCUUCAGAAAUAUCCUGCAAAGCUCUUCCACUGACAUACCCUUUACACCAGAAGACUGAGCAUAGACUACAGCAAAAUAUACAUUGAGGAGGGGUGCAUUUUGACAAUGCAGCAAUGUCAGUUAUUGAGCACUACCAUAUCUUACAGCAGGAACAUUCCUAAUGUACUAAUUGUCAAAGU